Molecule: microRNA, 22 nt
Filed under: Schmidtea mediterranea
Lineage: Eukaryota; Metazoa; Platyhelminthes; Tricladida; Dugesiidae
Description: sme-miR-2179-3p
Source: miRBase by way of RNAcentral
AGACUAUAGAGAUUUUUGCUAU